Molecule: long non-coding RNA, 302 nt
Organism: Zophobas morio
Lineage: Eukaryota; Metazoa; Arthropoda; Insecta; Coleoptera; Tenebrionidae
Exons: 3
Source: RefSeq, a predicted model, not a curated record
UUCAAAGCUUUUUCAUCCAGUAAUAAUAUUAUGUUUAGAAAGCAACUUUUUAUUUUAAUAUGACUAGCAGGCCGUCGAUAUUUAUACCGGAAAAGUUGAAUUAAAAGAAAGCUUUCCAGAAUGGACCCCCAAAGAGCAUUUAUGGCACAUAGUCGGUUUUAUAAAAAACUUAUUUUAUGAUAUUUCCUCUGCAAGCGCUUUAAAUAUGGCUGCUCAGACAUUAUUCUUAGACUAUCCUACUGAGUUUUCACAACAAUGUCGUUUGACUGUUCAAUCUUCUCUGGAUUCUCUAUACGAUAAGC